RNAcentral lists this ribosomal RNA (1061 nucleotides) under Hemignathus munroi. Its description in RNAcentral is "16S ribosomal RNA". It matches the Rfam family "Bacterial large subunit ribosomal RNA", at positions 1110 to 2842 of the family's 2925-position model. Lineage: Eukaryota; Metazoa; Chordata; Aves; Passeriformes; Fringillidae. The record is from RNAcentral.
AAGCAGCCAUCAACAAAGAGUGCGUUAAAGCUCUACCCUACAAAAAUAUAAAAACAAUAUGACUCCCUCCCCAUUAACAGGCUAACCUAUAUAUAAAUAGGAGAAUUAAUGCUAGAAUGAGUAACCUGGGUUCUCCCUCUACGACGCAAGCUUACAUCGGCACAUUAUUAACAAAUCAUCAAUAUACAACUAAUCAAACAAGCAGAGUAUUAAGUACAUUGUUAACCCGACAAAGGAGCGUCCAUUAAGAAAGAUUAAAACCUGUAAAAGGAACUCGGCAAACCCGUCAAGGCCCGACUGUUUACCAAAAACAUAGCCUUCAGCAAACCAUAAACAAGUAUUGAAGGUGAUGCCUGCCCGGUGACUCACGUUCAACGGCCGCGGUAUCCUAACCGUGCAAAGGUAGCGCAAUCAAUUGUCCCAUAAAUCGAGACUAGUAUGAAUGGCUAAACGAGGUCUUAACUGUCUCUUACAGGCAAUCGGUGAAAUUGAUCUCCCUGUUCAAAAGCAGGGAUAAACACAUAAGACGAGAAGACCCUGUGGAACUUUAAAACCAGCAACCACCUUAGAUCAUCUACUCACCCACUGGGUUCACUGCCGCAUAAGACACUGGUCUGCGUUUUUCGGUUGGGGCGACCUUGGAGCAAAACAGAACCUCCAAAAAUUAGACCACACCUCUAGACUGAGAGCAACCCCUCAACGUGCUAAUAGCACCCAGACCCAAUAUAAUUGAUCAAUGGACCAAGCUACCCCAGGGAUAACAGCGCAAUCUCCUCCGAGAGUCCGUAUCGACGGGGAGGUUUACGACCUCGAUGUUGGAUCAGGACAUCCUAGUGGUGCAGCCGCUACUAAGGGUUCGUUUGUUCAACGAUUAAUAGUCCUACGUGAUCUGAGUUCAGACCGGAGUGAUCCAGGUCGGUUUCUAUCUAUGAUGAACUCUUCCCAGUACGAAAGGAUAGGAAAAGUGAGGCCAAUACUACAAGCAAGCCUUCGCCUUAAGUAAUGAAAACAACUAAAUUACAAAAGGCUAUCACUCCACACCACGUCCAAGAAAAGGACUA